This is a non-coding RNA of Plectropomus leopardus (leopard coralgrouper), 461 nucleotides long. NCBI's taxonomy places the organism in Eukaryota, Metazoa, Chordata, Actinopteri, Perciformes, Serranidae. The record is from RefSeq and is a predicted model, not a curated record.
AGACGGGGAUGACGGACGCUGAUUACAUCGCAGCUUUUCAACAGCUGCUGCUGCCUGUAGCCUACGAGUUUGGGCCUCAGCUGGUUCUGGUCUCUGCUGGAUUUGAUGCUGCAGUCGGAGAUCCGAAGGGGGAGAUGUGUGUGAGUCCUCAGUGUUUCCAUGUUCUGACUCACAUGUUGAUGAGUUUGGCUGAAGGUCGACUCGUUCUGGCUCUGGAGGUAAAAACCUGUUUCAAGACGUUUUAUGAAGAAUAACAGUUUAAAUUUAUAUUUUUUGGGUGUUGAAUUGUGAUUCCUUUGGCAUGUUAUCUAAUCAAUGAAGCAAUUAUUUUUUCGUCACAUGAUUUCUUUGCUUCUGUCAUUACACGGAGACAUUUCACUGAGGUGCUAUUCUCUGAAUCCUGUUAAAAACAUCUAAUAGCUUUUUUAAAUUCCAAAAUAAAUUUCACAUGAUAAACAAAA